AUGGACGCGUCCGUGAGGCAUGGAUGGAAGCGAUUGUAGUGGAUUGAGGGAAUCAGUAGGAGCUACUAUGGUUGGCUUGGUUUGCAAAUCAAGGAGCUGGGUGGAUGAGACUGAUCCAGAGGAAGGGGACGUCUAGGUAGGUGGGUGGCGGCGCGGGAGAUGGGAAUGGGCGUAUGGGAAAGGCGAGGUUUUGACUGUUUUAUACCUUACUCGAUUAGGCCAGGGGCUAUCUUUUCCCUCCGUUCUGGAACGGACAUUCAAAAAUAAUACUUUAGAGGGUCCAAUUAAAAUUUGAUAGGCGGCUUGCCUAUAAUAAAACAAGACCACACUCCAACAU
RNAcentral lists this long non-coding RNA (337 nucleotides) under Hordeum vulgare. RNAcentral describes it as "long non-coding RNA (HVUL_LNC015773)". The record is from RNAcentral. Lineage: Eukaryota; Viridiplantae; Streptophyta; Magnoliopsida; Poales; Poaceae.